AACACUAGUUCCGUAGGUGAACCUGCGGAAGGAUCAUUAAUGAGAGGGGGACUUGUCCCCGGGGGCUCCGGCCCCCGACUCUUUACCCUUUGAUUACUUACCUUCGUUGCUUUGGCGGGCCUUGGAGGCUUGCGCCACAUACCGGUCGUACGGUGCCCUAGGGCUCUACCCGGUGCGCGCCCGUCGGAGGAAACCAUAAACUCUUUAUUUCAGGUGAUGUCCGAGCUUAUAAAACAAUUAAAUAAAACUUUCAACAACGGAUCUCUUGGUUCUGGCAUCGAUGAAGAACGCAGCGAAAUGCGAUAAGUAAUGUGAAUUGCAGAAUUCAGUGAAUCAUCGAAUCUUUGAACGCACAUUGCGCCCCUUGGUAUUCCGGGGGGCAUGCCUGUUCGAGCGUCAUUACACCCCUCAAGCAUAGCUUGGUAUUGGGCCCUCGCCUACCCACGGCGUGCCCGAAAGACAGUGGCGGUCGAGCGUGACUUUAAGGCGUAGUAAAAUCUCCCGCUUUGAAAGCUCACGUCCGGGCCCGCCAGUAAGCCCCAUCUUUUUCAAAAAUUGACCUCGGAUCAGUAGGGAUACCCGCUGAACUUUAGCAUAUCAUAGCGGAAGGAAAA
This 614-nucleotide ribosomal RNA is filed under the name Lecanora kenyana. RNAcentral's name for it is "eukaryotic LSU rRNA". The stretch from base 246 to 399 matches the Rfam family "5.8S ribosomal RNA". Lineage: Eukaryota; Fungi; Ascomycota; Lecanoromycetes; Lecanorales; Lecanoraceae. The record is from RNAcentral.